Molecule: long non-coding RNA, 611 nt
Filed under: Haliotis rufescens (red abalone)
Lineage: Eukaryota; Metazoa; Mollusca; Gastropoda; Lepetellida; Haliotidae
Description: uncharacterized LOC124119569, transcript variant X2
Source: RNAcentral
CAGAUGUACUCAAUCGUCCCUGUGUGAAGACUUGUGUGAGUCCCUGGUAACAAACAAGGGUCAAAGAUGUUGAAGCUGCAAUUCCUCAUCCUCCUUGUCGUCGUCACUGCCGUCGCCGUUGCACAGCAUAACUUCGGUAGUCGUUAUCAAGGUAACUCCGCUAGUCGUAACCAAGUAUACAACGGAAAUCGUUAUCAAGGAAGCUACGGUCAAGCAAACCCUAGUUACCAGGGAAACUACGGCGUUCGUUAUCAGGCAAACAGCGGUCGCGGUUACCAGGGAAACUCCGGUAAUGCCAACCAGGGAAUCUACGGUAAUACCUACCAGGGAAGCUAUGGUAGUAGUUCCUAUGGUAACAGGUACCAGUUGAUGUACAGCGACUACGACACCCCCGAUCAUCUCGAUUUCGACACACCCGACUACGGAAACAGAUAUGGGUACUACAGCUAAGGCUUUCGGUCUGAAGGUUCUGCAUCCGUGAGUUUGAUGAGUUUUCCCUGACUUCACACAUGAGGACCCAGAUUGACGAGGGGAGAGGACCGCGAUACAGCCAGCUAGUUCCCGUGAUACAGUAUACAAGCCUGUAACUUGGAAAUAAAAUACAAAAUGUA